AGAGUAUGGAUCGUUGGGAAAAAAAUCUAUAAUUUAAACGUCACGCAAUGUUUGCCAAAAAAUGGGGAAACACUUAAAGGAAAUGGAUUCGCAUGAAGUAUUAGGAUCAUGUAUGCAAAUACCGUUAUACGAUUUUUUUUCCAACUUCAGGGAACAGAAAAGUUAAUAUGACGUGAUUUGACUGAAAGGAUUCCUAGAAAGGGAAUGUUUUAAAGAUAUGGUGUCAUGUGCGUCGUCUCUGUGAACGAUCUAACGGUGCUUACUGGGAAAUGAGCACAAAUAACGAGUUCAUUCUCAUUGCCAACAUGUGACUUUGGAAAAGAGUGAUAUUUCAUGUGUAGAAAGUCAUGAGCUGUUCGUAGGAUGGGUGUCUAGAGCCCUUUCUCGACCUUCUCGGAGGGAAGCAUCGAGACCACGAGAGAGGGACGCCCGCCUGAACAUUUCCUGAAAAGUGUCAAGGAGCUCGAUCUCUUGUUCGAUCUGCUGAGGACGACUAAGACUUCCUCGCCGCUCCCUUCUCCGCACACCAAGGUAGCUUUGCGCUGAACAUCUUCCGCCUCGCUAGGGAGUGUCGCUGGCCUCCCUGAUAUGAUUUGCAUCCAUCGAGGUCGCGCUGGUUAGGGUUGCGUCUGCCCAGGGACGAGUCCAGCCAUGCGAGCGCUGCUGAAGAGCUGUCCCAAAAUGGAUCACAUGAAGGGUGAUGGCGACCAGCUGUCAGCCGACGCCCAGCUGGCCGCCCUCCAGGAGCAACUCGUCGCGGUCAUGUUGGACAAUCAACACCUGACGGAGGAGGUGAAGAACAUCCGCGACUUCGGCAUGAGAGAAUCCGAGCAAUUGCGUCAGCAGCUGGAGAGGGAGAAGGAGAAGAGCCGAAUACUGAUGGAGAGAUUGCAGGAGAAGGAAACGAAAGAGAGGGAGAAGGGGGAGAGAGAAGCGAGAGAAAGAGAAAGACAUCCGAGAGAGAAGAGUUUGCCCCCUGGAGACAAAUCUCCAAGCUUACCGCAACGUAUUAGGAAACGCAUUAACCAGAUCCACAAGAGCCAGUCGUUUGAGGUAGAAGACGGCUCCCCGGGCCCUCCUCCGCCCCCCCUCCCCUUCAGCGAUAAACUGCCGCGUGUGAUUGGCGAAGAGCGGCCCAUUCCCAAGUCAGGAUAUGAGCAACCGACCAAUCUGAUUGUAAAGUACGGAGGAGAAGCAGCCAAUCCCAAGUCGAGUUCCACGUUUGAUGUUGUUGAGAGUACCUCGCGGGGAAGGUUCGCCUGGAAGCGACGCGGCCUGGAAAAGAGCAAGUCGCUGGACCAGUCGGAGUUCCUGGCGUCGCUCAACGGGGCUGCGUCGGGAGGCGAGGCCACGGACCCCGGCUGGAUCGACGAGGAUCACCGGCGGGAGAGCGACUCCGAUGAAGGCGAACGAGCCAUCCUUCUUCGCGACGGCGGGCCAGCAGGCAGCGACUCGGGCCUGCAGACUCCUACAGGACACCCAGGAGUGGCGGUUGUGGUGACGCCCCUCGACCCCUGGUGGAAGCGGCUGGAGAUGCGGCUGCUGUCGGCGGUCGGGGAGCUCAUCAAGGACUUCUCUGAGGUGGCGGAGGAGGAGCUGCCUGACGGGGACCCUGAGGGAGACCCGCUCACCGUCAAAAAGUUGAAGGAAAACAUCUUAAGGUUCGGCUGUGUGAUGCGCCCCCUCACGGAAUGCUUGGCUGUCGUGACGUCCCUUCUGCACUGGGAGUCGACCUCGGCCACGCUCCUCGCCCUCGUCGUCUACCUGUACAGCGUGCUCUUCGGCUGGGUCCUCACCCUCAUCCUCACUCUCGCCAUCAUCAGGCUUUCCAUUAAUUACCUCAAGAAAAGGUCAAUAAUAUCGGACACGUCAUGCCGCAGGGGAUGGACGCAGCACAUGUUCCGGCGGCUGCGGCGGGAGGGCGGCGAGGCGGGCGACGCAAGCGGAGGCGAGUCUGGCUUAGGUGACAAGUUCGCCCUCGUGCUGCAGGUGGCACGGAGGGUGCAGAACCAGCUGGGCGCAGUGUCCAACGCCGCUGAGAAGUGCAAGAACCUCCUCCUGUGGGAACACGAGGCCACUCGCCGCCUGUACGCCCUCUUAUGGGUGUUCCUGCUGGCUUCCAUCCUCCUGCACUCUUCUCAGAUCUUCACACUCAUCGGCGUGUAUCUCGGCAUUAAGUUCUUCGUCCUCGAUUACGUGUUUUAUCGCUAUCCGAGAAUCAGACAGAAGUACGACUCCACCUCCCGGCUGUGGGACACGCUGCCCACCGACGCUGACCUGGAGAGGCGGAACGACAAGAGACACCUCGAGAACGGAUGUUCCUCCCCAGAUUCCACAUCUUUCCUCGAGCUGUUCAACCUGCCGUCUGCCGAGUCCCCUCUCCCAGUUACCUGUGCUUUGAACGCAGCAAGAGCCAGUCCGCGAAGAACCUGAAGCUGUCUCUGAAGGACGUCCGGGUGGACAAGGCCAACAGCUACCCGUGGAUCCCCGGCGGAGGGAUGGCUAUCGACAUCACGAUGGAGAACAGCGGCAAGGGCUACUUCUUCGCCGGGAUCCUCAACCGAGACGAGGUCUUCGAAGGCAUCAUCGAAGGAUGCAGGAAGCUGGGGGCCACUUGGUGCGACGCCCUGCCCGUGCAGGACUCGAAGGCAUCCAAGGACUCCAAAGACACCAAGG
Molecule: unclassified non-coding RNA, 2676 nt
Filed under: Penaeus japonicus
Lineage: Eukaryota; Metazoa; Arthropoda; Malacostraca; Decapoda; Penaeidae
Description: gRAM domain-containing protein 4-like, transcript variant X3
Source: RNAcentral